AUGCAUCAUCUUUAUCACUCCAUGUGCCAUCAACGCGACAGUAUCGUGAAAACGUGCGAUAUCCAUUACUUGAGGUAUAUCCUCUUGGGCACUCAAAACGACAAUAUGAAUAAGCUUGCAUACGUUGGGUUAGACACCUCUUAUCAUGAACAGAAGCAUGCUGCACCGUUCUUAACGGUGGGCAAGUGAUAGCUAUAUUGUUAAAAAUACAAUGACAGUCAUUAAUUCUGUCACAGCAAAAAAUACCGGGUGGGCCCAAAAAGAAGGUACUCCUCUUUGAUCCAG
Paramuricea clavata is the source of this 285-nucleotide non-coding RNA. Lineage: Eukaryota; Metazoa; Cnidaria; Anthozoa; Malacalcyonacea; Plexauridae. The record is from the annotation of a GenBank genome assembly.